This 328-nucleotide unclassified non-coding RNA is filed under the name soil metagenome. RNAcentral's name for it is "partial contains 5.8S ribosomal RNA, internal transcribed spacer 2, and large subunit ribosomal RNA". The stretch from base 1 to 120 matches the Rfam family "5.8S ribosomal RNA", at positions 35 to 154 of the family's 154-position model. The record is from RNAcentral.
GAUGAAGAACGUAGUGAAAUGCGAUAAGUAAUGUGAAUUGCAGAAUUCAGUGAAUCAUCGAAUCUUUGAACGCACAUUGCGCCCCUUGGUAUUCCGAGGGGCAUGCCUGUUCGAGCGUCAUUAUAACCCCUCAAGCUCAGCUUGGUAUUGGGGCCUGCCAUCCUGGCAGCCCUUAAAAUCAGUGGCGGUGCCAUCCGGCUCUAAGCGUAGUAACUCUUCUCGCUAUGGAGUCCUGGUGGAUGCUUGCCAUUAAUCUUUUAACUUCUAUGGGUGACCUCGGAUCAGGUAGGGAUACCCGCUGAACUUAAGCAUAUCAAUAAGCGGAGGA